Molecule: ribosomal RNA, 252 nt
Filed under: uncultured bacterium
Lineage: Bacteria
Description: partial 16S ribosomal RNA
Rfam family: Bacterial small subunit ribosomal RNA
Source: RNAcentral
UACAGAGGGUGCGAGCGUUAAUCGGAAUUACUGGGCGUAAAGCGUGCGUAGACGGUCAAGUAAGUCGGGUGUGAAAGCCCCGGGCUCAACCUGGGAAUUGCAUUCGAGACUGCGUGGCUAGGGUGCGGAAGAGGGAAGCGGAAUUUCCGGUGUAGCGGUGAAAUGCGUAGAUAUCGGAAGGAACACCAGUGGCGAAAGCGGCUUCCUGGUCCAGCACCGACGUCAGGCACGAAAGCGUGGGGGGCAAACAGG